RNAcentral lists this ribosomal RNA (1331 nucleotides) under Actinomyces sp. RNAcentral describes it as "bacterial SSU rRNA". The record is from RNAcentral. RNAcentral also lists the same sequence under 2 other names. Lineage: Bacteria; Bacillati; Actinomycetota; Actinomycetes; Actinomycetales; Actinomycetaceae.
GACGAACGCUGGCGGCGUGCUUAACACAUGYAAGUCGAACGAGUGGCGAACGGGUGAGUAACACGUGAGUAACCUGCCCCCUUCUUUGGGAUAACGCCCGGAAACGGGUGCUAAUACUGGAUAUUGAAAGCUGGUGGGGGAUGGGCUCGCGGCCUAUCAGCUUGUUGGUGGGGUGAUGGCCUACCAAGGCUUUGACGGGUAGCCGGCCUGAGAGGGUGACCGGUCACAUUGGGACUGAGAUACGGCCCAGACUCCUACGGGAGGCAGCAGUGGGGAAUAUUGCACAAUGGGCGCAAGCCUGAUGCAGCGACGCCGCGUGAGGGAUGGAGGCCUUCGGGUUGUGAACCUCUUUCGCUCAUGGUCAUGAGGGUAGUGGGUAAAGAAGCGCCGGCUAACUACGUGCCAGCAGCCGCGGUAAUACGUAGGGCGCGAGCGUUGUCCGGAAUUAUUGGGCGUAAAGGGCUUGUAGGCGGUUGGUCGCGUCUGCCGUGAAAUCCUCUGGCUUAACUGGGGGCGUGCGGUGGGUACGGGCUGACUUGAGUGCGGUAGGGGAGACUGGAACUCCUGGUGUAGCGGUGGAAUGCGCAGAUAUCAGGAAGAACACCGGUGGCGAAGGCGGGUCUCUGGGCCGACUGACGCUGAGGAGCGAAAGCGUGGGGAGCGAACAGGAUUAGAUACCCUGGUAGUCCACGCUGUAAACGUUGGGCACUAGGUGUGGGGGUUUCUGCGCCGUAGCUAACGCUUUAAGUGCCCCGCCUGGGGAGUACGGCCGCAAGGCUAAAACUCAAAGGAAUUGACGGGGGCCCGCACAAGCGGCGGAGCAUGCGGAUUAAUUCGAUGCAACGCGAAGAACCUUACCAAGGCUUGACAUGUGCAGGUGGUGCAUGGUUGUCGUCAGCUCGUGUCGUGAGAUGUUGGGUUAAGUCCCGCAACGAGCGCAACCCUUGCCCUAUGUUGCCAGCACGUGGGGACUCGUGGGGGACUGCCGGGGUUAACUCGGAGGAAGGUGGGGAUGACGUCAAAUCAUCAUGCCCCUUAUGUCUUGGGCUUCACGCAUGCUACAAUGGUUGGCAGAGGGUUGCGAUACUGUGAGGUGGAGCGAAUCCCUUCCAGUCUCAGUUCGGAUGGGGUCUGCAACUCGACCCCAGAAGGUGGAGUCGCUAGUAAUCGCAGAUCAGCAACGCUGCGGUGAAUACGUUCUCGGGCCUUGUACACACCGCCCGUCACGUCACGAAAGUUGGUAACACCCGAAGCCCAUGCCUAGGGAGUGGUCGAAGGUGGGAUUGGCGAUUGGGACGAAGUCGUAACAAGGUAGCCGUACCGGAAGGUGC